GAUGAACGCUGGCGGCGCGCCUAACACAUGCAAGUCGAACGAUUAAAGCACCUUCGGGUGUGUAUAAAGUGGCGAACGGCUGAGUAACACGUGGGCAACCUGCCCCUUUCAUUGGGAUAGCCACGGGAAACCGUGGAUAAUACCGAAUACUUCGAGACUUCCGCAUGGAAGACUCGAGAAAGCUCCGGCGGAGAGGGAUGGGCCCGCGGCCUGUUAGCUUGUUGGUGGGGUAACGGCCUACCAAGGCAAUGAUGGGUAGCUGGGUUGAGAGACCGACCAGCCAGAUUGGGACUGAGACACGGCCCAGACUCCUACGGGAGGCAGCAGUGGGGAAUCUUGCACAAUGGGCGAAAGCCUGAUGCAGCGACGCCGCGUGCGGGAUGAAGGCCUUCGGGUUGUAAACCGCUCUCAGCAGGGACGAGGCGAAAGUGACGGUACCUGCAGAAGAAGCCCCGGCUAACUACGUG
RNAcentral lists this ribosomal RNA (467 nucleotides) under uncultured bacterium. RNAcentral's name for it is "partial 16S ribosomal RNA". It matches the Rfam family "Bacterial small subunit ribosomal RNA", at positions 28 to 507 of the family's 1533-position model. The record is from RNAcentral.